RNAcentral lists this unclassified non-coding RNA (260 nucleotides) under Pseudoparaphysanthus sp. TY-35006b. RNAcentral's name for it is "ITS2". Lineage: Eukaryota; Viridiplantae; Streptophyta; Bryopsida; Hypnales; Neckeraceae. The record is from RNAcentral.
GCGCCCCCCACCGAUCCGCUCCCGCUGGCUGGGAGUCGUGUCGAGUGAAAGUGGCCAUCCCGCGGUGCCUUUCAGAGUGCGUGCCGAGGGUUGGCUGAAAUGGAUGGAAUCGGGCCGCCGUGGUGACACAGUCCGCGAUCGGGUGAUUCUCGGGCUCCUCCGGGAGCCCGGGAUUUUUCUAAGUGCGGGGCUGCGUCGCCCAGUCGGUCGUGGGUUACCUCAUGCAGGUCGAGCGCGCCCCCGCGGCGCGCGUCACGCAU